RNAcentral lists this ribosomal RNA (500 nucleotides) under uncultured bacterium. Its description in RNAcentral is "partial 16S ribosomal RNA". It matches the Rfam family "Bacterial small subunit ribosomal RNA", at positions 28 to 507 of the family's 1533-position model. The record is from RNAcentral.
GACGAACGCUGGCGGCGUGCUUAACACAUGCAAGUCGAACGGGUCUGCCCUGUUUUUUGCGGGGUGGGUCAGUGGCGAACGGGUGAGUAACACGUGAGUAACCUGCCCCUCACUUCUGGAUAACCGCUUGAAAGGGUGGCUAAUACGGGGUGUUCUGGCUGUGCCGCAUGGUGUGGCUGGGAAAGAUUCACUUUUGUGGUGUUUUGGUGGGGGAUGGGCUCGCGGCCUAUCAGCUUGUUGGUGGGGUGAUGGCCUGCCAAGGCUUUGACGGGUAGCCGGCCUGGGGGGGUGGGCGGUCACACUGGGGCUGAGGUACGGCCCGGACUCCUGCGGGAGGCAGCAGUGGGGGGUAUUGCACAAUGGGCGGAAGCCUGAUGCAGCGACGUCGCGUGAGGGAUGGAGGCCUUCGGGUUGUGAACCUCUUUCGCCGGUGAAGAAGGUCCUGCUCUUUGUGGUGGGGUUGACGGUAGCCGGGUUAUGAAGCGCCGGCUAACUACGUG